UAUCAGGUAUUUGGUCACAGAUCUUGUCUCGAUGGCUCUCAUGUACAAAUUUAGAGGUGAAGAAGAAGGCAUCCAUUCUCUAAACCAUGAAAAAAAGCAAGCCUAACUGCAAAGGUAAGAGAGGAGAGAUUUGAUUGGAAAUUUUUUAUGCACGCUCCAAAUGCUUGCAAGGAAGAAGUACCAUCGGAAUGGAAAAAUGAAGAAAACC
This 208-nucleotide long non-coding RNA is filed under the name Coffea arabica (coffee). Its description in RNAcentral is "long non-coding RNA (CARA_LNC004332)". The record is from RNAcentral. Lineage: Eukaryota; Viridiplantae; Streptophyta; Magnoliopsida; Gentianales; Rubiaceae.